RNAcentral lists this ribosomal RNA (432 nucleotides) under uncultured bacterium. RNAcentral's name for it is "bacterial SSU rRNA". It matches the Rfam family "Bacterial small subunit ribosomal RNA", at positions 46 to 524 of the family's 1533-position model. The record is from RNAcentral.
GCCUAACACAUGCAAGUCGAACGAGACCUUCGGGUCUAGUGGCGCACGGGUGCGUAACGCGUGGGAACCUGCCUUUAGGUUCGGGAUAACUCCUCGAAAGGGGUGCUAAUACCGGAUGAUGUCUUCGGACCAAAGAUUUAUCGCCUUUAGAUGGGCCCGCGUUGGAUUAGCUUGUUGGUGAGGUAAAGGCUCACCAAGGCGACGAUCCAUAGCUGGUCUUAGAGGAUGAUCAGCCACACUGGGACUGAGACACGGCCCAGACUCCUACGGGAGGCAGCAGUGGGGAAUAUUGGACAAUGGGCGAAAGCCUGAUCCAGCAAUGCCGCGUGAGUGAUGAAGGCCUUAGGGUUGUAAAGCUCUUUUACCCGGGAUGAUAAUGACAGUACCGGGAGAAUAAGCCCCGGCUAACUCCGUGCCAGCAGCCGCGGUAAU